Molecule: non-coding RNA, 29 nt
Filed under: Rattus norvegicus (Norway rat)
Lineage: Eukaryota; Metazoa; Chordata; Mammalia; Rodentia; Muridae
Source: RNAcentral
UGGCAGGUCACCCCANAAGGGCAGCAGCU